This 328-nucleotide ribosomal RNA is filed under the name uncultured eukaryote. Its description in RNAcentral is "partial 18S ribosomal RNA". It matches the Rfam family "Eukaryotic small subunit ribosomal RNA", at positions 1470 to 1796 of the family's 1831-position model. The record is from RNAcentral.
CCCUUAGAUGUCCUGGGCCGCACGCGCGUUACACUGAUGCAUUCAACGAGCUUAUAACCUUGGCCGAGAGGCCUGGGCAAUCUUGUUAACGUGCAUCGUGAUAGGGAUAGAUUAUUGAAAUUAUUAAUCUUGAACGAGGAAUUCCUAGUAAACGCAGAUCAUCAAUCUGCAUUGAAUACGUCCCUGCCCUUUGUACACACCGCCCGUCGCUCCUACCGAUUGAGUGGUCCGGUGAGGCUUUGGGAUCUGAGCGGAAAGAGCGUUUCGCUGUUUCUGCUCGGAAAACUCAGUCGAACCUUAUCAUUUAGAGGAAGGAGAAGUCGUAACA